AGAGUUUGAUCAUGGCUCAGAUUGAACGCUGGCGGCAUGCCUUACACAUGCAAGUCGAACGGCAGCACGAGAGCUUGCUCUUGGUGGCGAGUGGCGAACGGGUGAGUAAUAUAUCGGAACGUACCCUAGAGUGGGGGAUAACGUAGCGAAAGUUACGCUAAUACCGCAUACGAUCUACGGAUGAAAGUGGGGGAUCGCAAGACCUCAUGCUCAUGGAGCGGCCGAUAUCUGAUUAGCUAGUUGGUGGGGUAAAAGCUCACCAAGGCGACGAUCAGUAGCUGGUCUGAGAGGACGACCAGCCACACUGGAACUGAGACACGGUCCAGACUCCUACGGGAGGCAGCAGUGGGGAAUUUUGGACAAUGGGCGCAAGCCUGAUCCAGCAAUGCCGCGUGAGUGAAGAAGGCCUUCGGGUUGUAAAGCUCUUUUGUCAGGGAAGAAACGGUGGACUCUAAUACAGAUCACUAAUGACGGUACCUGAAGAAUAAGCACCGGCUAACUACGUGCCAGCAGCCGCGGUAAUACGUAGGGUGCAAGCGUUAAUCGGAAUUACUGGGCGUAAAGCGUGCGCAGGCGGUUGUGCAAGACAGAUGUGAAAUCCCCGGGCUCAACCUGGGAAUUGCAUUUGUGACUGCACGGCUAGAGUGUGUCAGAGGGGGGUAGAAUUCCACGUGUAGCAGUGAAAUGCGUAGAGAUGUGGAGGAAUACCGAUGGCGAAGGCAGCCCCCUGGGAUAACACUGACGCUCAUGCACGAAAGCGUGGGGAGCAAACAGGAUUAGAUACCCUGGUAGUCCACGCCCUAAACGAUGUCUACUAGUUGUCGGGUCUUAAUUGACUUGGUAACGCAGCUAACGCGUGAAGUAGACCGCCUGGGGAGUACGGUCGCAAGAUUAAAACUCAAAGGAAUUGACGGAGACCCGCACAAGCGGUGGAUGAUGUGGAUUAAUUCGAUGCAACGCGAAAAACCUUACCUACCCUUGACAUGUCUGGAAUCCUUGAGAGAUCAGGGAGUGCUCGAAAGAGAAUCAGAACACAGGUGCUGCAUGGCUGUCGUCAGCUCGUGUCGUGAGAUGUUGGGUUAAGUCCCGCAACGAGCGCAACCCUUGUCAUUAGUUGCUACGAAAGGGCACUCUAAUGAGACUGCCGGUGACAAACCGGAGGAAGGUGGGGAUGACGUCAAGUCCUCAUGGCCCUUAUGGGUAGGGCUUCACACGUCAUACAAUGGUACAUACAGAGGGCCGCCAACCCGCGAGGGGGAGCUAAUCCCAGAAAGUGUAUCGUAGUCCGGAUUGUAGUCUGCAACUCGACUACAUGAAGUUGGAAUCGCUAGUAAUCGCGGAUCAGCAUGUCGCGGUGAAUACGUUCCCGGGUCUUGUACACACCGCCCGUCACACCAUGGGAGCGGGUUUCACCAGAAGUGGGUAGCCUAACCGCAAGGAGGGCGCUCACCACGGUGGGAUUCGUGACUGGGGUGAAGUCGUAACAAGGUA
RNAcentral lists this ribosomal RNA (1491 nucleotides) under metagenome. RNAcentral describes it as "bacterial SSU rRNA". It matches the Rfam family "Bacterial small subunit ribosomal RNA". The record is from RNAcentral.